This is a non-coding RNA of Triticum aestivum (bread wheat), 106 nucleotides long. Lineage: Eukaryota; Viridiplantae; Streptophyta; Magnoliopsida; Poales; Poaceae. The record is from Rfam.
CUGUUUGAUUUGCGCUUAGUGUUAACAUGGACAAAUAAUAUGGUUGAUGGAAUUUAGGUGAUCAUCAUGCGAGCCAUGGAUGCUCAUACAUGACCAUCACACAUAC